Molecule: non-coding RNA, 28 nt
Filed under: Gallus gallus (chicken)
Lineage: Eukaryota; Metazoa; Chordata; Aves; Galliformes; Phasianidae
Also listed under: 3 other names
Source: RNAcentral
UAGUGGUUAGGAUUCGGCGCUCUCACCG